CAACAAGAUUAGACCAUAGAAGAGACUGAAUAAAGGGUCCGUGUUUUCCCUACAUGUACGAGUUGAGAUUGAUGACUUUUCUAUUGAAUGGUUAUUGCAUUGCUGUUACAAUUCCGUAACUGACUGGGACGGAUAGUACUAGGAAAUGUAUAUAGAAUAUAAAUAUAAGCGGUAAAUAUUAAAAUUGGCUGCACACGAAUGUUUGUCGACAAAGGACAAUGUAGAUAACUACAUUUUCAAGAUAUUCAAAGUUGAUAAUUUUCACUUUUUGGUACAUUGUAUUGUGAUUGAAGAUAUAUAAUUAAAUGCAAUGUCCACAAUAGUUGUUCAAUACGAUCUUGAUUACAAACAACGUCAUUAGAUUCACUUUUUCGAUUUAUAUCCAAAAUCUACAUGCACAUACAAUUCGAUUUCGGGUGAAAAGCUUCUCAGUAAAGUGGAUAUCAAUUACUUCAAUAUAAAAAUUGAGAAAAUGUAACACUGUUUGAAUUUACUACCUUAUUAUUUGCAGUCAGUUUAAUACUGUCUUGUUUUGAUAAUCGAACACAUUUUUGAUAUCAAGGAACAUCUGCUGGACAUUCAGAAUACUGAUAUUACGGACAAUCCAAAACUCUGUAGAAAUCGUCCAGAAGGGUCAAGUCAAGAAAACAUAAUGAUGAAUUUACUUCCGAGGCAACUUAAAAACAUGUGUUCGAAAGAUAUGAAGGAGGAUCUGUCAGCAGAAAGAGUUCUUGAAAUGCUGGAAAAAGAAUCUUUGGUGAUAAUCACAGGAAAUCCUGGAGACGGUCAAUCUAAACUGGCAAAGAAAUGCAUAGAUGAUUUAAUCUAUUCACAUUCAAACAUCAGUCCAGUUAGAAUUAGGAGAAGCUCCGAUGUUGUUAAAAUGAGAGAUGUGAUGUUAAAAGGAGACAAUUCUUCAAUCAUUUUGGUGGACGGACCUUUCGACCAAAUUGACACUAGAACAGAGAUUACAGAAGACAUUUUAAGAGAAGUAGAGGACAGAAUCGAAUAUGGUGCAGUUGGAGUAAAAUGUGUGAUUGUCAUGCAAAAAGAUACGUUAAACUUUGUAAAAACUUAUUUCAAAAACAUGGAGUGGCUGCGAAACGAACGGAUCAUUGACAUGACUGGAAGUGAUCCAAACAUGGAAAGCCUUACCAAUCACAUUCAAAACAUGGAUGGACAUUGUAUUUUUCUAUUAGGAUUGAUAGCCCUGAGUGACGGAUCAUUGAGUUCUUGCACACUGUAUUGUUUGAAUAGUGAAGAUAGCAGAGUAAGACAUGCUUCCGAGUUUGCAGGAAUUGCGUUUAACAAUUCUAUGUCGAAGUUCCUACGUCAAAUAGCAACAGCCUUUUUGGACAUUUACAUCAUCAAAAAGUCAGGCAAAUUCUUUUUCAAAGAUCAGACUGUAUCCGACGCGGUUUAUUUGUCCCUUUCGAAGAUGAAUCCCUGGAAGUAUAUAGAACUUUGUCCUCUCUCCAAGCUUCAGAUGCCAUUUGUCAGUAUGUUGAAUGAGCAGUCAUUACUUGAUUCUUUUGAGAAGCGAAUUAUUUCUGAAAUGGAACGAGAUAUUCCUAGAUUCGAUGACUUCAUGAAGUUAAAUGUUUGGCAUAAAGAUGUACUCUUUGGUGUUGGACCAAAACUAGUAAAUUCAAUGCUUACUUUAGAAGAUAGUGCUGCAAGACAAUUCCUGAAUUCUGUUCAUAGAAGUGGAAACAUCCCUCUUCUUUCAUUUUUAUUCAUUUCACUACCAAAUCUGAAGUACAACAGAUUAGAAAAAACACUUGUUCUUAAUAGGAGGACAAGCGGAAAUGCAAAACACAUUUGUUUAUGUCGUGAGGAAAUUCCCCCAUCAUUGUUUGAGACAAAACAAGUCUCUAAUAGCAUACCUAUUCAUUUCAUCAAUGAUUUUUUCAAAAGAAAUAUUCUGUCUUGGCCUGGAGGACGCAGCGUUUUCGUUGAAUGUUCUUACCCCGCAAGGGAGUUUGAAAGGUACAUAGCAAACGAACGAGAGAAGAUUGAAAUAUACAAAGUAGGCCAUAAAGAUUGUGAAUGUCGAAUUCUUCCUUUUACCGCACGUCAAAAAGAACAACCUCGUAUAUCAUCAGUUUUACUCAAACUUUUGAAUGGAUUUGUUGGAGCUAGUUUCAUAAAUUACAAACAUUUACUCAUUGAAACCGGCGAGGAACUAAAGAUGGGUUGGUAUAUACAGAUAGCUGUAUCUCAUGCAGAUGCAGAAUUUAUGAAAAGUACAUAUUCUAACAUAAGAAAAUCAUCCAAUUGUUUUUUGACGUCGAGACUUGAUGAAAUAGUGACAACAAAAUUCAAGAAACUUCAUAAAGAUUGCACCUUUUUGAGCAUUUGGACUGGUACACAAUAUGAGGAAAAUAAGGGCAAACCUAUUGACACAAUCGUUGCAAUUGUGCAAAAUAAACAAAAGCAUUUUGAAAAUGAGUUUUGGGGAUUACAGGUUAUAGUUCGAGAGGAAAACGAAUUUAGUUAAGAAGCUACAGACGCGUUGUCCCACACCCGAAGCAAUUUCAGUAAUGAUGUAAUUGAGUUAAGUGGGCAUACAGUUUGCAACCUUUUCAAGAAACAUACCAACAUCACUCUUAUUAGCACUUCUAGCAUUAGGUCUCAAAGGUAUGGAAAAGAAAAUGCUGUCAUAAUGCAGAGACCUUGUGUUGUACUAUACUGUCGGGUUAAAGGCAUCAUUCCUAGAGGUGAGGAUAUGUUCCCUCAAGAAAUUGAAAACCACCCUGUUGAUGUACGAGAAGGUUCCUGCAGUUUUGCAGCGAAUACAAUACGAGCUGGAGACAAGAUAAAAUCAGAAAACCGGACGUGGACUGGUACAUUAGGGGGUUUUGUGAAUUGUGCAGGUUCCAAAAACAACGCAUUCAUAACAUGUGCACACGUUCUGUAUCAAAGGAAGGAUCUGGGAGAGAAUCUGGAAAAGUUGUCUAGGAAAACCGAGCAAAAUGUCUCUGUAUCUAUCAACGAUAAGUGGCACACCACAGGAAGAGUUAGGCGUGCUGUUUUUAAUAAUACCAAAGAGGAAGAAGUGAGUGUUGAUGCAGCGCUUGUAGAUUUGACGGAUUGUUCUUUUGGAAACGAUGGUCAGUUUUCCGAAACAUACAGCAGAAAGCAAUUGCAGGGAACAGGAAUCUAUGGUCAACGCACGAUAUCGUUUUCAUCUGGCAAAAUAGAAACCAUCAACAGCAAUAACAAGAAAAACGUCUUCUUGAAAGUGGGAGCGGAGAGUGGACUUACUGCAGGACAAUUUUGUGGACCCAUUCACCCUAAAUUAGACAAUCUAAAUGAUGAAUAUUCCCCUAGCAUUUAUUUGUAUCAUCAAAUUGAAAUUGUACCCUUAUCAAAAGAAACCCCAUUCCUAAAGAGUGGAGAUUCUGGAUCUUUCAUCUUCAUGUUGAAGAAUACCAACCCAGUAGAAUUGACAUGUGUGGGUAUAGCCGUGGCCUCUACAUCUCACGGCUCGUGCAUAAUGACGCCAAUAAGCCGUGUUCUGGAGGCGUUGAAGCUUCCAGAAAAUUCUCUGUCUGUCUUUGAAAACUCAUCAGUGAAUACAAACCCUGAAUAUGUUACAAAUGAGGCAUUGGUUAACCUCCUUAAAAUACAAACAGAUACGUUAAAGGAUUUUCUGCAGGAAAACACUGAAAAUAUCAAAACUGAGAUAACAGAAUUAUCAAAACGAAUUAAAACUGUUGAAGACAAAAUAAGCAAUAAUUUGGAAGAGAGGCGUCAGGACCAGAGAAAAUAGAUACAGUCCUUGUAUUGAAAAGCGAAUUGAUCGCAGCUGUAUUGACUAGAACAUGUCUUAUUGUGUAUAUGAAUACAAUCAAAAGAAUAAGAAACAACUAACACUGUAUGGGUUCUUUUCCUAGAGUUCAAUUAUCGUAACGGUUGCAAUUGUCAUGAAGAAUUUUCGAUGAAAUAUUAUUUCAAAUCGUAAGUUAAAAUAAAGUACUGCUAUA
RNA transcript from Ostrea edulis (European flat oyster), 3989 nucleotides. RefSeq lists it as uncharacterized. The transcript is spliced from 3 exons. NCBI's taxonomy places the organism in Eukaryota, Metazoa, Mollusca, Bivalvia, Ostreida, Ostreidae. The record is from RefSeq and is a predicted model, not a curated record.